RNAcentral lists this ribosomal RNA (1540 nucleotides) under Staphylococcus aureus. RNAcentral's name for it is "16S ribosomal RNA". It matches the Rfam family "Bacterial small subunit ribosomal RNA". Lineage: Bacteria; Bacillati; Bacillota; Bacilli; Caryophanales; Staphylococcaceae. The record is from RNAcentral.
AGAGUUUGAUCCUGGCUCAGGAUGAACGCUGGCGGCGUGCCUAAUACAUGCAAGUCGAGCGAACGGACGAGAAGCUUGCUUCUCUGAUGUUAGCGGCGGACGGGUGAGUAACACGUGGAUAACCUACCUAUAAGACUGGGAUAACUUCGGGAAACCGGAGCUAAUACCGGAUAAUAUUUUGAACCGCAUGGUUCAAAAGUGAAAGACGGUCUUGCUGUCACUUAUAGAUGGAUCCGCGCUGCAUUAGCUAGUUGGUAAGGUAACGGCUUACCAAGGCAACGAUGCAUAGCCGACCUGAGAGGGUGAUCGGCCACACUGGAACUGAGACACGGUCCAGACUCCUACGGGAGGCAGCAGUAGGGAAUCUUCCGCAAUGGGCGAAAGCCUGACGGAGCAACGCCGCGUGAGUGAUGAAGGUCUUCGGAUCGUAAAACUCUGUUAUUAGGGAAGAACAUAUGUGUAAGUAACUGUGCACAUCUUGACGGUACCUAAUCAGAAAGCCACGGCUAACUACGUGCCAGCAGCCGCGGUAAUACGUAGGUGGCAAGCGUUAUCCGGAAUUAUUGGGCGUAAAGCGCGCGUAGGCGGUUUUUUAAGUCUGAUGUGAAAGCCCACGGCUCAACCGUGGAGGGUCAUUGGAAACUGGAAAACUUGAGUGCAGAAGAGGAAAGUGGAAUUCCAUGUGUAGCGGUGAAAUGCGCAGAGAUAUGGAGGAACACCAGUGGCGAAGGCGACUUUCUGGUCUGUAACUGACGCUGAUGUGCGAAAGCGUGGGGAUCAAACAGGAUUAGAUACCCUGGUAGUCCACGCCGUAAACGAUGAGUGCUAAGUGUUAGGGGGUUUCCGCCCCUUAGUGCUGCAGCUAACGCAUUAAGCACUCCGCCUGGGGAGUACGACCGCAAGGUUGAAACUCAAAGGAAUUGACGGGGACCCGCACAAGCGGUGGAGCAUGUGGUUUAAUUCGAAGCAACGCGAAGAACCUUACCAAAUCUUGACAUCCUUUGACAACUCUAGAGAUAGAGCCUUCCCCUUCGGGGGACAAAGUGACAGGUGGUGCAUGGUUGUCGUCAGCUCGUGUCGUGAGAUGUUGGGUUAAGUCCCGCAACGAGCGCAACCCUUAAGCUUAGUUGCCAUCAUUAAGUUGGGCACUCUAAGUUGACUGCCGGUGACAAACCGGAGGAAGGUUGGGAUGACGUCAAAUCAUCAUGCCCCUUAUGAUUUGGGCUACACACGUGCUACAAUGGACAAUACAAAGGGCAGCGAAACCGCGAGGUCAAGCAAAUCCCAUAAAGUUGUUCUCAGUUCGGAUUGUAGUCUGCAACUCGACUACAUGAAGCUGGAAUCGCUAGUAAUCGUAGAUCAGCAUGCUACGGUGAAUACGUUCCCGGGUCUUGUACACACCGCCCGUCACACCACGAGAGUUUGUAACACCCGAAGCCGGUGGAGUAACCUUUUAGGAGCUAGCCGUCGAAGGUGGGACAAAUGAUUGGGGUGAAGUCGUAACAAGGUAGCCGUAUCGGAAGGUGCGGCUGGAUCACCU